UACAGAGGGUGCGAGCGUUAAUCGGAUUUACUGGGCGUAAAGGGCGCGUAGGUGGUAAAGCAAGUAAGAUGUGAAAGCCCCGGGCUUAACCUGGGAAGUGCAUCUUAAACUGCUUAACUAGAGUAUGGUAGAGGGUAGUGGAAUUUCCGGUGUAGCGGUGAAAUGCGUAGAGAUCGGAAGGAACGCCAGUGGUGAAGACGACUACCUGGACCAAUACUGACACUGAGGCGCGAAAGCGUGGGGAUCAAACAGG
Molecule: ribosomal RNA, 253 nt
Filed under: uncultured bacterium
Lineage: Bacteria
Description: partial 16S ribosomal RNA
Rfam family: Bacterial small subunit ribosomal RNA
Source: RNAcentral